AUCGGCUACGGAGACAUGACACCAAAGACCUACGUGGGGAUGGUGGUGGGUGCCUUAUGCGCACUGGCCGGUGUACUGACGAUUGCGUUGCCCGUGCCUGUCAUCGUCAACAAC
Molecule: regulatory RNA element, 114 nt
Organism: Ramazzottius varieornatus
Lineage: Eukaryota; Metazoa; Tardigrada; Eutardigrada; Parachela; Ramazzottiidae
Rfam family: Potassium channel RNA editing signal
About the family: This family represents a group of sequences related to the human potassium channel Kv1.1 hairpin element which directs the efficient modification of an adenosine to inosine by an adenosine deaminase acting on RNA (ADAR). The ADAR modification causes an isoleucine/valine recoding event which lies in the ion-conducting pore of the potassium channel.
Source: Rfam